Molecule: ribosomal RNA, 253 nt
Filed under: uncultured bacterium
Lineage: Bacteria
Description: partial 16S ribosomal RNA
Rfam family: Bacterial small subunit ribosomal RNA
Source: RNAcentral
UACGUAUGGGGCGAGCGUUAUUCGGAUUCAUUGGGCGUAAAGGGUAUGCAGGGGGCUUGUUAAGUCGGCAGUGAAAUUUCCAGGCUCAACCUGGAACUUGCUCUCGAUACUGGCAAGCUAGAGUUUGGCAGAGGAGAAUGGAAUUCCAGGUGUAGGGGUGAAAUCUGUAGAUAUCUGGAAGAACACCAGUGGUGAAGACGAUUCUCUGGGCCAAAACUGACCCUCAGAUACGAAAGCCAGGGGAGCAAACGGG